UGUCUUAUAUUCAAUUAUGAUAUAAAAUUGCAAAUUUUAAGGUGUAGAAUUAAUUCUAUUAAGGCUU
Molecule: transfer RNA, 67 nt
Filed under: Acronicta major
Lineage: Eukaryota; Metazoa; Arthropoda; Insecta; Lepidoptera; Noctuidae
Description: tRNA-Cys
Source: RNAcentral